GAAGCAAGACACCAGGACAUCCUGAGAAUUUCGAGACUCCUGGAAUUGAAGUCACUACUGGUUUGAGAUUUUGCUUCUUUUGGCUUAUGGUUCAUGUGAAAUUUCACAGAAACUAUCUAUAACUGUAUUUACAAUUGUGCUCUCUGCUUUGGCUGCUAUGCAGGUCCUCUUGGACAAGGAAUCGCUAAUGCUGUUGGUUUAGCUCUUGCUGAGAAGCAUUUGGCUGCUAGAUUCAACAAACCUGAUGCUGAAGUAGUCGACCACUACACGUAAUAUAUAUAACCCAUAGUUAUGUUGUCGUUCUUGGUUUGUAUAUAGCUCUGAUAAUAGAAAUACUGUUUUUGAUUGAUUGUCUAGAUAUGCGAUCCUUGGAGAUGGUUGUCAGAUGGAGGGUAUUUCUAAUGAAGCUUGCUCUCUAGCUGGCCAUUGGGGACUUGGAAAGCUCAUUGCUUUCUACGAUGACAAUCACAUUUCUAUAGAUGGAGACACAGAAAUUGCCUUCACUGAGAACGUGGACCAGCGAUUUGAAGCCCUUGGAUGGCAUGUUAUCUGGGUGAAGAAUGGAAACACUGGGUAUGACGAGAUCCGUGCUGCCAUUAAGGAAGCUAAAACUGUUACUGACAAGCCUACUUUGAUCAAGGUAACUACACAAUUUCUUAACCAUCAAACAUCGGUUGGUCUAAAGACCUUUGAUAUUGAUUUACCAUAUUGCGUAAUCCAGGUCACUACUACCAUUGGUUAUGGGUCUCCCAACAAGGCGAACUCAUACAGUGUCCAUGGAGCUGCACUUGGCGAGAAGGAAGUUGAGGCUACCAGAAAUAACCUUGGAUGGCCGUAUGAGCCGUUCCAGGUACCUGACGAUGUAAAAAGGUUAGUAAAUCCAAAGCAGGCUUAUGUUUGGUUUUAUUGCUUUGAAGUUGCCUUGAUGACUUACUGUUUGACUUGCACUUCUCUAGCCACUGGAGUCGUCAUACACCUGAAGGAGCUACUCUUGAAUCUGACUGGAGUGCAAAGUUUGCAGCAUAUGAAAAGAAGUACCCAGAGGAAGCUUCUGAGUUGAAAUCUAUUAUCACUGGUGAAUUACCUGCUGGCUGGGAGAAGGCUCUACCUGUAAGUAGAACUCUCUUUGCAUUCUGUACAAUUCAAUUGGUAUUCUAGAUAUGAGUUAUAGAACAUCUUUCUUUUUCCUUUUUUAGACAUACACACCAGAGUCUCCAGGUGAUGCCACCAGAAACCUGUCACAGCAAUGUCUUAACGCCCUUGCUAAAGUUGUUCCCGGUUUCCUUGGUGGAAGUGCUGACCUUGCAUCAUCCAACAUGACAUUGCUGAAAGCCUUUGGCGACUUCCAAAAGGCCACACCUGAAGAAAGAAAUCUUAGGUUUGGUGUUAGGGAGCACGGAAUGGGAGCCAUCUGCAAUGG
This 1420-nucleotide long non-coding RNA is filed under the name Arabidopsis thaliana (thale cress). Its description in RNAcentral is "long non-coding RNA (ATHA_LNC000208)". The record is from RNAcentral. Lineage: Eukaryota; Viridiplantae; Streptophyta; Magnoliopsida; Brassicales; Brassicaceae.